This is a long non-coding RNA of Acanthochromis polyacanthus (spiny chromis), 1811 nucleotides long. RefSeq lists it as uncharacterized. NCBI's taxonomy places the organism in Eukaryota, Metazoa, Chordata, Actinopteri, Pomacentridae. The record is from RefSeq and is a predicted model, not a curated record. The transcript is spliced from 3 exons.
GUUGGAGAAUAAUUAAAGCUCUUUGUCUCCCAGGACUCUGAGUCUGUCUCCAGCACUGUUGGAGAACAGAACAGGACCACCGGGUUCUACGUGAUGUUCUCCACAGCAGCAGACAGGAACAGAACAUUUGAUUGAAAUAUAUCCACACUGAAAUACACGCAGAGACCAGACAGGAAGUGGAUCCUCUGACCAAUGUUCAACCCUCAGAAGGUCUCAUUUAACUCACUGUAGAUCAUUUUGAAGUCCUGCAGCUCUGUGGAAUCGGAACACCAUGAAGAUGGAGAGAGAACUCAGAACAUCUUCUGUCAGGAGGACUCACAAUGAUGGAAACCAGAAGAAAGAACCAUUUAUUUGAUUAUUUAUUUUACUAAAACACUAAAACAUGGAACCACCAUGUUUCUCCUUAGAUGUUAAACCUGAACUCUCGGUGUCUCCUCAGACUUCUGUGGAGGUUCAGUCAUCCAGAUCCUGGUGAUGGACCUGGAUGACAUUUCUAGAAACGUCUUCCAGAAUCUCCUGUUGGUUUCUCCUGAAGUUCCUAUCAUCUCCUCAUCCUGUAGAUGUUUUUCUGUCUCCAGAUGUUUCCUCUCUACUCUGCUCACCGUCUGUAGAAUAUGUUCCACCAUGCUGGAUGGAUCUCCAACUACUAGAAGAUGUUCCACCAUGCUGGAUGGAUCUCCAACUACUAGAAGAUGUUCCACCAUGCUGGAUGGAUCUCCAACUACUAGAAGGUGUUCCACCAUGCUGGAUGGAUCUCCAACUACUAGAAGAUGUUCCACCAUGCUGAAUGGAUCUCCAACUACUAGAAGAUGUUCCUCCAUGCUGAAUGGAUCUCCAUCUAUUAGAAGAUGUUCCACCAUGCUGGAUGGAUCUCCAACUACUAGAAGAUGUUCCUCCAUGCUCGAUGGAUCUCCAACUACUAGAAGAUGUUCCACCAUGCUGGAUGGAUCUCCAACUACUAGAAGAUGUUCCACCAUGCUGGAUGGAUCUCCAACUACUAGAAGAUGUUCUUCCAUGCUGAUCUCCAACACCCUGCUCCUCUGUUCUCCAUUUCUGUUGCAUUUUUUUAUUGGUUUUCUUCUCAGUCUCUCUGAGGAACCACUGCCUGAAGGUCAACCUGAACUCCAAACACAUAGAAUAAAAAGCUUUUCAUGAAUUUUUAUCAUUUAAACUCAGGUUUGGUUUCUUUUCUUGAGGGAACAUCACAGAUGGUGUGUUCAAGGACAGUCAGAAGGUUGAAAAGUUGAUCAUUCUAUCUAUCUUCUGACUGAGUUCAGAGGGUUAAAGGCUGUAAAAUAACACGAACAUUGAACAAUCUUCUAAAAUAGGAAUCACAGAACCUUCACUCUGGUUUUAUUUUUGAACUCUUUUUAAACCAUCUUGUCUAUAAGUUGCUUCUCUCUUCAGUUUACUCUACAAACAAUCUGUUUCAAGUUCAGAAAAAGAUGAAUGUUUGGUUCAAUGACAGCAGCUUCUAAGAUCUCCUCCACAAGAACGUCUCUGAGGAACAUCUUCCUCUUCAUAAAAAUAAUCAGUUAGACAUUAGUCUGUGAAGACACGACAUAUGGUAGGGGGUUAAAGGCUGGAGGUACAGGUCCAACAGGAUGUUCUACAGCUGAACUAAAGGACGUUCUACAGCCGAACUAAAAGAUGUUCUACAGCUGAAGUAAAGGAUGUUCUACAGCUGAAGUAAAGGAUGUUCUACACCUGAGCAGGUCACAGUGAAGUCAGUAUCUAUGGAUAAGUUGUGUUUAUUUUGGACUUUAUGUCCAUGAUAAAGGUUCCAUCAACAGUCAGAACCUCCAGAUACA